This 300-nucleotide ribosomal RNA is filed under the name uncultured Christensenellaceae bacterium. Its description in RNAcentral is "partial 16S ribosomal RNA". It matches the Rfam family "Bacterial small subunit ribosomal RNA", at positions 338 to 652 of the family's 1533-position model. The record is from RNAcentral. Lineage: Bacteria; Bacillati; Bacillota; Clostridia; Christensenellales; Christensenellaceae.
CCUACGGGGGGCAGCAGUGGGGAAUAUUGGGCAAUGGGCGCAAGCCUGACCCAGCAACGCCGCGUGAGGGAAGAAGGUCUUCGGAUUGUAAACCUCUGUCCUUGGGGACGAAAAAAAUGACGGUACCCAAGGAGGAAGCUCCGGCUAACUACGUGCCAGCAGCCGCGGUAAUACGUAGGGAGCGAGCGUUGUCCGGAAUUACUGGGCGUAAAGGGUGCGUAGGCGGCAUGGCAAGUCAGAUGUGAAAUUCCCGGGCUUAACUCGGGGGGUGCAUUUGAAACUGCUGAGCUUGAGUGCAGG